GCAAGUCGAGCGAGAAAGCACUUCGGUGUGAGUAGAGCGGCGGACGGGUGAGUAACGCGUAGGAAUCUACCCAGUAGCGGGGGACAACAUGGUGAAAACCAUGCUAAUACCGCAUACGCCCUACGGGGGAAAGGGGGCAGCUUGCUGCUCUCACUAUUGGAUGAGCCUGCGUUGGAUUAGCUAGUUGGUGGGGUAAAGGCCCACCAAGGCGACGAUCCAUAGCUGGUCUGAGAGGAUGAUC
RNAcentral lists this ribosomal RNA (241 nucleotides) under uncultured bacterium. Its description in RNAcentral is "partial 16S ribosomal RNA". It matches the Rfam family "Bacterial small subunit ribosomal RNA", at positions 57 to 305 of the family's 1533-position model. The record is from RNAcentral.